Molecule: ribosomal RNA, 836 nt
Filed under: Panorpodes paradoxus
Lineage: Eukaryota; Metazoa; Arthropoda; Insecta; Mecoptera; Panorpodidae
Description: partial 16S rRNA
Source: RNAcentral
GAAGGUGUAUCUAGAAAGACAAAUUAGAGCUUGAAAAGUAAAGCAUUUCAUUUACAUUGAAAAGUAUAUUGUGUAAUUCAAUUUAAUUUGAUAAUAAAAAUUUAUUAAUUUUUUUUGUUUAAAAAUUUAUUUAAUAAAAUUAAUUUUAGAUAAAGUUUUUUUUGUAUAGUAUAUAGAUCAAAUAGUUUAUAUGAUAGUUAAUUAGUAUUGUAAAAGAAUAUUGAAAUAUGUGAAAAAGUUUUAAAUUAAAAGUAAAUUUUAUAUAUUGUACCUUGUGUAUCAGGGUUUAUUAAUUAAAAGUUAAAAAUUUAAUUUUUCUCGAAUUUAAGAGAGUUAAUUUAUUAUUUAAUUUUUUGUUUAAAAAAAAUUUAAAAUAUUAAAUUAGAAAUGAAAUGUUAUUCGUUCUUAAAUAUAUCUAGUUUUUUAAGAAAUAAAUUAAAUUUAGAUUAUUAAUAAAUAAUUAUUUAUUUAAAUAAUAAAUUAUUAUUAAUAAUUAAUAUUUUAGGGGAUAAGCUUUAAAAUAAGUUUUAUAAUAAUUUUUUAAUUUGAAAAUUAUAGGUUUAGAAAUAGUCAUUAAUUAUAAAAAUGUUAUAAUUUAUUUUAAAUUAAAAAUAAUUUUUAUUAAUUUAAGUUUUUAUUAAAAUAAUUUUUAAAAUAAAAUAAGAAUUGAAAUAAUGAUAAAAUUAGUAUAUUGAAUUGUUUAAAAUAAAUAAAUUGAAAGGUUAAAUUAAGGAACUUGGCAAAUAAAUAUUCGCCUGUUUAACAAAAACAUGUCUUUUUGAAUAUAAUUUAAAGUCUAAUCUGCCCACUGAAAAAUUUUAAAGGGCCGCGGUAUU